Molecule: ribosomal RNA, 285 nt
Filed under: Salinivibrio costicola
Lineage: Bacteria; Pseudomonadati; Pseudomonadota; Gammaproteobacteria; Vibrionales; Vibrionaceae
Description: partial 16S ribosomal RNA
Rfam family: Bacterial small subunit ribosomal RNA
Source: RNAcentral
GACCAAAGGUGGCCUCUACAUGUAAGCUAUCGCGUURGGAUGGGCCCAGUUAGGAUUAGCUAGUUGGUAAGGUAACGGCUUACCAAGGCGACGAUCCUUAGCUGGUUUGAGAGGAUGAUCAGCCACACUGGGACUGAGACACGGCCCAGACUCCUACGGGAGGCAGCAGUGGGGAAUAUUGCACAAUGGGGGAGACCCUGAUGCAGCCAUGCCGCGUGUGUGAAGAAGGCCUUCGGGUUGUAAAGCACUUUCAGCAGUGAGGAAGGUAGUGUACUUAAUACGUGC